GACGAACGCUGGCGGCGUGCCUAACACAUGCAAGUCGAACGGAAAGGCCCUGCUUUUGUGGGGUGCUCGAGUGGCGAACGGGGGAGUAACACGUGAGUAACAUGCCCUUGACUUUGGGAUAACUUCAGGAAACUGGGGCUAAUAUCGGAUAGGAGCUACUGCUGCAUGGUGGGGGUUGGAAAGUUUCGGCGGUUGGGGAUGGACUAGCGGCUUAUCAGCUUGCUGGUGGGGUAGUGGAUGACCAAGGCUUUGACGGGUAGGCGGCCUGGGAGCGUGGCCGGCCUCCAGGGGCCUGAGGGACGGCCCAGUCGCCUACGUUAGGCAGCAGUGGGAAAUAUUGCACAGUGGGCCGGAGCCUGUUACGGCGGCGCCGCGUUCGGAAUGCCGUCCUUCUGGGUGUGAACCGCUUUCGCCUGAGACGAAGCGUGAGUGACGGUAAUGGGUAAAGAAGCACCGGCUAACUACGUG
Molecule: ribosomal RNA, 468 nt
Filed under: uncultured bacterium
Lineage: Bacteria
Description: partial 16S ribosomal RNA
Rfam family: Bacterial small subunit ribosomal RNA
Source: RNAcentral